CAGUCGCCACGGUAAUACGUAUGGUGCGAGCGUUAAUCGGAAUUACUGGGCGUAAGCGUGCGCAGGCGGCUAUAUAAGACAGAUGUGAAAUCCCCGGGCUCAACCUGGGACCCGCAUUUGUGACUGUAUAGCUAGAGUACGGUAGAGGGGGAUGGAAUUCCGCGUGUAGCAGUGAAAUGCGUAGAUGUGCGGAGGAACACCGAUGGCGAAGGCAAUCCCCUGGACCUGUACUGACGCUCAUGCACGAAAGCGUGGGGAGCAAACAGGAUUAGAUACCCCCGUAGUCCCUGUCUCUUAUACA
RNAcentral lists this ribosomal RNA (301 nucleotides) under uncultured bacterium. RNAcentral's name for it is "partial 16S ribosomal RNA". It matches the Rfam family "Bacterial small subunit ribosomal RNA", at positions 509 to 808 of the family's 1533-position model. The record is from RNAcentral.